AUCGGCCUCCGCGACCGAAUCGUCGAGACUCCGGUGACGAGGUUUGCUUUGAUGGGUUCCCAUUAUUCAUUCUUUUUAAUGAAUGGAAGGAAAAAAAACGUGAGGGUGACGACGUUCUCCCCUGUAAAUUAACUCAACGCCUGCUGAGGACGGAAAAUUUCUUUAUAAUUGUAGCAACGAUUUUUAAUUUUUGGGUUUUUAUUCCAGGUCGUCCCGGGGAAGGUAAAUUAGCGUGACUGGCAACAAUUUGCCCUCCAAAACUGCCGUGGAGCCGUGGUUCGGCGGCGCGGCAGCCAAAUUGUGUGUGUCGGAUGAUCGACGGCGGAAUCGUCAUUAGCGAUAAUUGCUGGGCUUUGGCAAACCUUGGCUGGCUGGUCAUAAAUAAAUCCCGAGUUCAACACUUUGUUUACUGACUGUAUGUCAUUCAUGCUAGCAGCAGUGUCACCGUCGAAUGCAACAAACGAUAAUUUUCCCGCACCCGCAUCCGGCCUUUUGAAAACAUCAAUUCAUCACUUAACUUCAGCAUGCUCAAUUCUAAUGUGCGUCGUGCACGAAUGAGCAACCAUCAUGUCAUCAAUUCGAGUCACUCGGCUGAAAUCAGAGCCCGUCCCCCUUCCCAUGUCCAAAACCUCGGCCCAGAUCAAGCCCUAAACAACCAUUGAUGUGGUCAUUGAGCGUAAUUCAAUCAAGAUCAAUUAAAAUUCAUUGGACCGUCAUCAUCGUCCACGUUUGAGGCUACCACCACCACCAGUUGAGCCAAGUGGCGUCGCGACGCGUCGCAGUAAAUCUAUGCUUCCACGCCCUGAUUUCUGCGCUGGAUGUUUGUCCUCGUUUCCUGGACCAGGGUGAUAACUUCAAUUACAUUUCGAAGAAAAUGAGAAUACAGCGUUUGAAAUAUUUUUUAAGACAAACGAUGUUAUUUCUGAUUUUCUCGUCUAAAUCCAUAAAAUGACAGAUAAAUUUUGUUUGGCCCAAAAAACUAAAAAUAAAAAUACAGAAAUCAGCAAAAAUUUCCCAUCAGAGUUGUCACUCUGUCACAGUCGACCUAAACAAAAACAAAAACGAAAACAGUUCAGCAAUUUACGUGAUUGUCCCGAUGAUGUGCGGUCACUUUAUUUGGACGGAUUCUCGGCAAGUUAGUUGUUAGAAAUGACCAACCGUUAAUGCGCGACGGUGGAAAGAGGAUGAAAUUGUCCCCUCGUGUUGGUCGGAGCAACGCUGUUGGUCAUCAAAGUAGCCGUGGAAUUCGAACGAUUUAAUUGUUGGAGGGACCGUGUGGCGUUGGAAUGUGGAUAAGAAAGUGAUGGAAGGUGGGAUUUUGAGAUUUGAUAUUAUCAAAUUAUUGCCAAAAAAUGUUAAAUAUGUAUAAAAACUAAGCAAAAUAGAA
Molecule: long non-coding RNA, 1387 nt
Organism: Culex quinquefasciatus (southern house mosquito)
Lineage: Eukaryota; Metazoa; Arthropoda; Insecta; Diptera; Culicidae
Exons: 2
Source: RefSeq, a predicted model, not a curated record